This 254-nucleotide ribosomal RNA is filed under the name uncultured bacterium. RNAcentral's name for it is "partial 16S ribosomal RNA". It matches the Rfam family "Bacterial small subunit ribosomal RNA", at positions 524 to 776 of the family's 1533-position model. The record is from RNAcentral.
GACGUAGGGCGCGAGCGUUGUCCGGAUUUAUUGGGCGUAAAGAGCUCGUAGGCGGCUUGUCGCGUCGACUGUGAAAACCCGUGGCUCAACCAUGUGGUCUGCAGUCGAUACGGGCAGGCUAGAAUUCGGUAGGGGAGACUGGAAUUCCUGGUGUAGCGGUGAAAUGCGCAAAUAUCAGGAGGAACACCGGUGGCGAAGGCGGGUCUCUGGGCCGAUAUUGACGCUGAGGAGCGAAAGCGUGGGGAGCGAACAGG